UUUUAUGUGUGCAUAUUAUCCCAUAUUUAUUAUUUUUCUUUUGAUUUACAAAUGUUGCUUGUAAUAGGCCCAUUUCGCUCGGGCCCAUACAAAAACAAAAAAAAAACAACAAAAUAAAUAAAAUAAAUAAAACCAAAUGUUUUAAUAGUCCCAGUCCAUUUACAUUUAUAGCCCAAUAAACCCCAAAACCCAAAUAGCUCCAGAUCAAUGCAGGGUCAGACCUGAAUAAGCAAGGCCUAAUUAGCCUAAGUACAAAAGCCCAAAAUAACAGCCUAAAUCUAAACCUUUGGCCCAAAUAAAAAUUAACCCAAGAGGGCCCGAUGUCUAAAUUCUUUCAGAAACCUUAUGGGUUUCUGAAGUUUCCUCACGCCGCAAUAGCCUCCAAGCCCCAGCAGCUCGACUCUGGGGUAAGCUCGCAGGGCCCAAGCAGGUUGAAGCUUCUAGAAGCCUGUACUGCAGCUCCCACGAACAGCCUCACCACGAGCAGACCUUUUCCUUCGUACAUCCCACGUGCGUCACCACCUCCAGCUGGCUCCUUCUGUACCUAUAACAAAUUAACAAACCACAAGCCACAGCAAGAAGGGCGCAACAACACAACAAAUCUACAGCAAAUGGGCAAGCGAAAAAUAAUAGAAAGAUCUAGGGAAUUUCUUUUAUUUUCUAUUUUUUCUUAUUUCUCUUCAUUGGGCUAUAAAUAAAGACCGAAUGUAAUUUGUAAAGGGUCGAAGAUACGGAUAUUGAAAAAAGCAAUCAAAGUUGAAAAGGUGAUUUUGGAUUCAAAUAUUUUUAAUUUUUCUUUUUUCUUUGGAUUCCAUUAGUUUUUCAUUAGAGUUUAUAUGCAUUUGAAAACAAAGAGAAAACAAGAGAUUUACCUUGCGAAUAUGCUAAGAGAUUCCGUCUUCUUCGUUGAAAUCGGAGCGUAGAAGGAAUCUCGUGGUCGAGAUUAUCGUCCCUCGAAGCCCGAAUCUGUUCGUCACCAUUGAUAGAGGCAGAUCGGUGCUUAAGAGAGGGGUGUUAGGAUCGGUUGAGGGAAAAUCAAGAGAGGCUAGGGUUUUGGUUUCUUAGUCGGCCAAAUGAAGAUAGAUAUGGGGAAGGAUUUGCUUCAUUUGCUGUAGAAAGUGGUAGAGUGGCAUUCAAACAUUUUUUUAGGGUUCAAUUACAAAAUAAAACGACUCCGUUUGAUCUUUGGAGCCCGGGUACCGAAACGUCACCGUUUCAUGCUGACCUGUAAGCGAACCGACCCAACCCGGGGAGGAUCCGCGCGUUUAGCUAUUUUGGGUAAAUUGCGCAUUUGAUCCCUCCUCUUUUGCGCCGGCUUUUAAUUAAGGCUUGUUUCUAUUUACGUUGCUUUUUAAAUUUUUCCAUGGAAUUCGCUUGUCAUUUCAACUUAGUCCACACCUUAAUGCUGCGUUUUGGGACUUGGGACAUUCGCAUUUUUAGUCCCUGUUUGUUUGUGCGCAUUUAAUUCAAGUCCUUGUUUCUGUUUUAAUAAUUUGAUUUGUUUAAGGUUAGCCUCUGGAUUUUGUUUUUUGUUUCAAUUGAGUUCUUUUUAGUUUUUGUAAUUCUUUUACUCUUUCUAAUCCAUUUAUUACUCAUUUUUUUUAUUUUAAUA
RNAcentral lists this long non-coding RNA (1612 nucleotides) under Gossypium barbadense (sea-island cotton). RNAcentral describes it as "long non-coding RNA (GBAR_LNC013035)". Lineage: Eukaryota; Viridiplantae; Streptophyta; Magnoliopsida; Malvales; Malvaceae. The record is from RNAcentral.